Ctenopharyngodon idella (grass carp) is the source of this 6109-nucleotide long non-coding RNA. RefSeq lists it as uncharacterized. The transcript has 3 exons. Lineage: Eukaryota; Metazoa; Chordata; Actinopteri; Cypriniformes; Xenocyprididae. The record is from RefSeq and is a predicted model, not a curated record.
UAACCGGUCAGAGUAGAUCAUAUCACAAUAUAAAGGGUUGUUCUAGGUUCAGGCCAAUAUAGUAAUGUACAGUAAUGCUAGCAAAUAAAAAGCUCAGGAUUGCACUUUAAUUGCAACAAUUAGUAUUUAUUAGUUGAUUUAAAUAUGAAUUAUUAACGUUUGAUGAUAUAUAGCAUGAUACAUAGCACUAAACAUCAUUUCCACAUCUUUAUUUAACAAAGAAGUCAAGUAAAAUUGAUCAAUGCAAUUUUCAUCCUCAAUCACCAUAUUAUUUUCACUGGCUCUUAAGAAGAGUUGUGAGCAGCGAAGGUGGUUGUGGGUAAUUGUAGCCAGGCAUGGUGACAUUAGAUCCUUCAUAGUGAAAAAAAACAUCAAAGAUCAUGAAAACUAUACGUAACUAGACCAUAACAUAAAACACAGUAUGCUUUUAUGAUGAACGUUUAACAUACGUCUGACAUACAACGCAUAUCAGAAGCCCAGAUUUAAAAGUACAUUAUUUGACUUUAAAAUAAACAUAUUUUGAGCAUCUUUACUUUUGUCAGACAGCUGUAAGUGAAAGCAAUCGAUUAUGUUUCUGUCAUUUCAACACAACCGUUUUUCCCUAGCUUUGCGACAGCAGAAAUGCAAUAUGGGGCUUUCAUGAAUCAAAGAAUAAAUGUUUCCAGAUGACAAUGUCUUGCCUGCAGAAGAGAAAAAAAGUAAAAGGCUGCAGAAAUCCAUUUGCUCCAGCAUGAAUCCCAGAGAAUAAAAAAAAGGGAAAAGAAUUUCAAGCCGGGUGCACUCAUGCAUAUAUCCUGCUGCCGUGAGGAACCCUUCAGUGCAGAGCGGCCAUAAAUAUAGCCCGUAUGAGCCCACAGAAUCAUCCCUUGCUACACUAUGCUUUCGCACAGUUUAAGGUCAAUAUUUGGAAUCCACAUUGUCAGAUGAGGGGGGGGGGUUUCAGGGCUCUCUGAUGACCUAACAGCUGCCAAAGGAGAGUACCAGGGAGACCCUAAACAGGCCUGUCAGGGUUGCUAUAGGAAUCCAUUGACAUGAGUAUGGUAUUUUGGCCUAGGCACGAUGAUAAAGAGAUUGCACAUGCACAGUGUAACCAACUGGAGUUUAACUGACAAGGAUGUUGAAGUUUGUGUUGGAAUAAUGUGUACCGUACUAAAAAAAAAGGGACUUUCCAAGAACAGGUUACACGUUUUUUAUUUUUAAAACUGUAAAUACAUAUUUUGUGGGACUAAUUGCAGUUUAAGCUAAUUUACCCUUCCAUUCAAAAAUGUUUUUUUUUUUUCACCAAGCAUGCAUUAAAUUGAUCAAAAGUGACAUGAAAGACUUUUACAUUGUAUUAUACUAUGCUGUUCUUUGAACUAAUCCUGGAAAAAAAAGUGUCACAGUGAGUUUUCACAAAAAUAUUAAGCAGAACAACUGUUUUCAACAUCGAUAAUAAUAGAAAAAAUGUUUUGUGCACCAAAUCAGCAUGUUAGAAUGAUUUCCGAAGGAUCAUGUGACACUGAAGACUGGAGUAAUGAUGCUGAAAAUUUUGUUUUACCAUCACAGAAAUAAAUUAAAUUUUAAAAUAUAUUACAAUAGAAUACAGUUAUUUUAACUGUAACAAUAUUUCACAAUAUUACUGUCAUUUCAAAACCUUUUUACUGUAUUUUUGAUCAAACAAAUGCAGACUUUUGAUAACUUCUCUCAAAAACAUUAAAAAAAUAUUACCAACCCCAUUUUGAACAUACAUUUGUACAUGUCCAUGAUUGUUAUUUUCUAAUAAAAAAACAUAUGAAAAAUCUUCAAAAUAAAACUAAGACAGGACAAUAUUGCAGGACAUCUGCUCAAUGUUAAUUUUAGUCUUGUAGAAGCGAUUAGAAUUGUGUAUAUGACUAAUACUGCUGAAAGGAUCUGCUUUCUGUCAAACUAUUUAUGACUUAGAAUAACAAAUGAAGAUGAGCUACUGAAAAAACUCAGUAACCCACCGUCGGCAGAAAUGGAUGGUGGAGCACACACUGAGAGCAGUUAAAAGAGCUCUCUAGACACCUGAAUCCACUCCAGACUCUUGGAAAGAGUCUCAAUAUUAUAUCCAGUCAUCUUGGCCCCUUCAAACACAGACUAUGAAACAAGUCUGGUCAGAAACAAAGUAGAACAGAACAGUUGCAUAAGAGGUUAUGAAAAUGCAAUCAAAAUGAAAAUUCAAGGGUGGAGAAAAGUACUUUCUUCUUAACAGAAUCAACUACAGGGGUAUCACUAAAUAAUGGAUUUUUGCUGAAUUAUCCACAUUUUCAGGAGUUUUUUUUUAAUUUUAUAUAUAUACACUAUAUUGCCAAAAGUAUUUGGACACCCCUCCAAAUCAUUGAAUUCAGGUGUUCCAAUCACUUCCAUGGCCACAGGUGUAUAAAAUCAAGCACCUAGGCAUGCAGACUGCUUCUACAAUCAUUUGUGAAAGAAUGGGUCGCUCUCAGGAGCUCAGUGAAUUCAAGCGUGGUACCGUGAUAGGUUGCCACCCGUGCAGUAAGUCCAUUCGUAAAAUUAUGGUGUGGGGUUGUUUUUCAGGGGUUGGGCUUGGCCCCUUAGUUACAGUGAAAGGAACUCUUAAUGCUUCAACAUACCAAGACAUUUUGGACAAUUUCAUGCUCCCAACUUUGUGGGAACAGUUUGGGGAUGGCCCCUUCCUGUUCCAACAUGACUGCGCACCAGUGCACAAAGCAAGGUCCAUAAAGACAUGGAUGAGCGAGUUUGGUGUGGAGGAACUUGACUGUCCUGCACAGAGUCCUGACCUCAACCCGAUAGAACACCUUUGGGAUGAAUUAGAGCGGAGACUGCGAGCCAGGCCUUCUCGCCAACAUCACUGCCUGACCUCACAAAUGCGCUUCUAGAAGAAUGGUCAAAAAUUCCCAUAAACACACUCCUAAACCUUGUGGAAAGCCUUCCCAGAAGAGUUGAAGCUGUUAUUGCUGCAAAGAGUGGAUCAACUCCAUAUUAAACCCUACGGAUUAAGAAUGGGAUGUCAUUAAAUUUCAUGUGCACGUAAAGGCAGGCGUCUCAAAACUUUUGCCAAUAUAGUGUAGGUUCUAAGAUAAUAUGUUGUUGGGGGCCAUCGUAGCACCAUGUAAAUGUUACAAUCAAUUAAUAUGGUAAUCAUUUUGUAACAUGGUACAUUACUGUUCAAAAGUUUGGAGUCAGUCAUUUUUUUCACAAUUUUUUUUUUCACAAACUCAUGUCAUGAUGAGUACAAACUACAACAUGAGUAUGUGCACUAACCUCUAGGCCAUGGCUCUGACAAAACUAGAGAAAUUUAAUUCACAGUAUGUAACAUCUCAUGCACACUAGAUGCUGAAACAUACUGGUUGUAUUUCAAAGCGUUUACAGAGAGAGAGAACAGAGCAUAUAUCUGGAUAAGACAAACACAAAGCCCAAAUUUGACACAACCUCCAUCUGGCAUACUUUGGCUCUCCUAGUUGUUAAUUCCAUUCUUUUUGAUUCCAUCUCCACUGUCUUCCAAACAUUCACCUUAUACAAAGCAAAUGUAGUAUUUAGUGAACACUGACAGGCAUUUGUGAGAGGAUGGGCUGAUAUUCUGUUAUGUUUCUUUGUGAUGCAGUAUCAUUUGAAUUUAAACUGAAAGCAGAAGGUUUUAUGCUCAACAUUUAUUGGAAACUAAAGAGAAACUAAAGAGCAUCUCGAUUUUUUUUCUUCAGUGGAAAGUAGAGGUGGAUUGGACAUUUCCUGAACAGUCUGGACUGGCUGUACUAGCAUCUGCCUAUCUGAAUCACUCAUAUGAGCUGCCUGAGGCACUGAUAAGAGUCUGCAGAGAACUUUACAAGCCUGAACAACAAACCGUUCUUCUUUGAGACACAUAGGCUAAAAUACUACCUGUAUGUGUUUAAAGAGGAAAAAGGCAACAUUUACUCAUCAUACUUCCAAUAUUGAGUUCUAGCAAGCUUUCUUACUCUUUUUUUUUAAAUAAGAAAAUUUAGAGCAAGUUACAAAACCAAAACAGAACUGUGGCAAAGUCUGUAUCUCAUUAGUCUGUGUAUCACUUUUGGCUGCCCGUCUCAUCUCUUGUUUUGAACAGUUCUUAGGACUCUAUUUUGGUGGUCAAGCUGCUAACAAUAGGUUUCUAUCUUGUGACUAUAUUUACACUGGACCGGAGUGAUGUACUAACAUGGGGCGAGCCCAGCUGUUUGUGGUUUAGACGUGCACUUCCUGUGUUUAUUACGGCAGGAUCUGAACUUCCAGACCCCCUCUUGCACCCAGUUUACUUGAGAAGUAUUUCAAUGGAAUGAAGACUCGGAGCACAUUUUGAAGGAUGAGACGAUCAUAUAUGAUGGCGGCUCUUGUCCCCCUCCCCUCUUUUUGUUCUUCUCGCACCGUCUGUCUCUUUUGUCCGGAGGUCUGCCUCGCUGCAGUUCUCUUGGGGUCUAGGCUGAGGGCUUCGGUCCAUCUUGGAUUCUGAGGGAGAGAAAACGCCUCCAGGCAGGACGCACACGGAUGGUGUGUUUUUCAGGGGCCAAGAGGGCUUCAGGAAACCUUACGCAAUAUCUGUGAGAUCUACACUUGGACUUUCUCUCAUUCUGGGUGAUUGCAAAGUGUCGAAUAUGACCGGAAAUGGCUCAUAAAAAAGUAAAUCUCCAGGGGCCACGUAUCACAAUAAUUACUUUCAGUUGUACUACCGUUCAAACGUUUGAGGUCAGUAAGAUUUUUUAAAAAGAAAUUAAUACUUUUAUUCAGUAUGGAUGCACUAAAUUGGUCAAAAGUAUCAACAAAGACAUUACAAUGUUACAUGUAAUUUCUAUUUCAAAUAAAUGUUGUUCUUUUGAACAUUCUAAUCAUCAAAAAAUCCUGGAAAAAAGUAUCAUGUUUUCCAAUAAAACAUAUUAAGCAGAACAACUGUUUUUUUAACACUGAUAAUAAUAUAAGUUAUUGAGAUCAUUAUCAUUAUACCACAUAACAUGGUUGUGUGCAGAAUCUGGAGGAAAUUGUACAAUAACUCAGAUGCUUUGGUCGGGUCCAAGGUUGUGUAAUCACACAUCUUAAAGAAAGAAAUUUGAUGUUAAAUCGUGUCUCUAGAAAUGCAACAUUUCCAAGACCAUUACUAUGAGGACAGAGAAAAUUAGUUUAAUAGACAUCCCUUUCAUGUGGAUAAAGAGUCUAAUAUCGUUGAUUAUUGUCGUGCCAGAUGGGGAGGUUAAAGCGGCAGGUGGGGGAACUGAAGUGAGCUAUUAAAAUGUGUGAUUAUUACAAGAACUGCAUUAAGGUCUGUACAAAAAGGACAUGAAAAAUAGCCAGUGGACACACCUCUCUCUAGAUAAAAGGCAUUACUCUCAGUGUGAAUGGGUCAGUUUGUGACCCACAGAGCAUGACCGAUAUCCUCUUCGCCCACUGGCAGCUGCAUCAAAAGCUAUCCUCGAGCGUUUUUGUUUUCAGAGAGCUGUGUGCCCAUUGGAUGCACUCUAGAGACUUUUCAACACUUGCCCAUGGGGCGUUCUGGCCUCAAAGAAAAAACCUUGCUCUGAUCUGCCACAGACCAGCCAAAGCGCUCUGCACGUGCCUACGACACAAUGAGCAUUUACAUUCCCCCCCCCAGAAAAGAGCAGCUGAAACACGAGACUCAUGACUGCUACAAUUACUUUCACUUUCAGCUUUUUAAAAGGAACAGGUAAUCUAUGUUGGUUCGUUUAAUUCAAUCCAGUAGUCUUUUGGCACACUUAUGCUGAAUCAUUAAUUAAUUAAACACAACACUGACGUUUUCAAAUCUAUAAUAAAUAAUGAAAGUUUACCAACUCAUAGUGAUCCUAACAGAAAGCCCUCUAACUGCCACUAUUGCUAGACUUUGUGAACAUCUGUUUGGUACCAGGCGAAAAGAUGCAAAGUGACUAACUUGUAACAUAACAUGUUUGGUUAUUGAAAUGUUCAUAAACCCUGGUAAAAACCACUUGUACAUAUGUAUUUGUAAUACAUAUGUACUUACUUUUUAAAUGCCUUUGCUAUAUAUACUGUACAUACAUACACACACACACACACAUACUUGCUGUGACCAAGUAAGACAUGCUGCUGCUGCUGUACAACAUAGCAUACAUGGAUUACACAAAGCAGGAGGAGCUGGGGAAGGUGGAGGGUAGGG